CGAAUGCUGACAUAAGUAACGAUAAAGCGGGUGAAAAGCCCGCUCGCCGGAAGACCAAGGGUUCCUGUCCAACGUUAAUCGGGGCAGGGUGAGUCGACCCCUAAGGCGAGGCCGAAAGGCGUAGUCGAUGGGAAACAGGUUAAUAUUCCUGUACUUGGUGUUACUGCGAAGGGGGGACGGAGAAGGCUAUGUUGGCCGGGCGACGGUUGUCCCGGUUUAAGCGUGUAGGCUGGUUUUCCAGGCAAAUCCGGAAAACUAAGGCUGAGGCGUGAUGACGAGGCACUACGGUGCUGAAGCAACAAAUGCCCUGCUUCCAGGAAAAGCCUCUAAGCAUCAGGUAACAUCAAAUCGUACCCCAAACCGACACAGGUGGUCAGGUAGAGAAUACCAAGGCGCUUGAGAGAACUCGGGUGAAGGAACUAGGCAAAAUGGUGCCGUAACUUCGGGAGAAGGCACGCUGAUAUGUAGGUGAAGUCCCUCGCGGAUGGAGCUGAAAUCAGUCGAAGAUACCAGCUGGCUGCAACUGUUUAUUAAAAACACAGCACUGUGCAAACACGAAAGUGGACGUAUACGGUGUGACGCCUGCCCGGUGCCGGAAGGUUAAUUGAUGGGGU
Molecule: ribosomal RNA, 614 nt
Filed under: Escherichia coli
Lineage: Bacteria; Pseudomonadati; Pseudomonadota; Gammaproteobacteria; Enterobacterales; Enterobacteriaceae
Description: partial 23S ribosomal RNA
Rfam family: Bacterial large subunit ribosomal RNA
Source: RNAcentral